GCGACAGGCUUAACACAUGCAAGUCGAGCGUCAGCGGGGGUAGCAAUACCCGCCGGCGACCGGCGCACGGGUGAGUAACGCGUAUGCAACUUACCUAUCAGAGGGGGAUAACCCGGCGAAAGUCGGACUAAUACCGCAUGAAGCAGGGAUCCCGCAUGGGAAUAUUUGCUAAAGAUUCAUCGCUGAUAGAUAGGCAUGCGUUCCAUUAGGCAGUUGGCGGGGUAACGGCCCACCAAACCGACGAUGGAUAGGGGUUCUGAGAGGAAGGUCCCCCACAUUGGUACUGAGACACGGACCAAACUCCUACGGGAGGCAGCAGUGAGGAAUAUUGGUCAAUGGCCGAGAGGCUGAACCAGCCAAGUCGCGUGAGGGAUGAAGGUUCUAUGGAUCGUAAACCUCUUUUAUAAGGGAAUAAAGUGCGGGACGUGUCCCGUUUUGUAUGUACCUUAUGAAUAAGGAUCGGCUAACUCCGUGCCAGCAGCCGCGGUAAUACGGAGGAUCCGAGCGUUAUCCGGAUUUAUUGGGUUUAAAGGGUGCGUAGGCGGCCUUUUAAGUCAGCGGUGAAAGUCUGUGGCUCAACCAUAGAAUUGCCGUUGAAACUGGGGGGCUUGAGUAUGUUUGAGGCAGGCGGAAUGCGUGGUGUAGCGGUGAAAUGCAUAGAUAUCACGCAGAACCCCGAUUGCGAAGGCAGCCUGCCAAGCCAUGACUGACGCUGAUGCACGAAAGCGUGGGGAUCAAACAGGAUUAGAUACCCUGGUAGUCCACGCAGUAAACGAUGAUCACUAGCUGUUUGCGAUACACUGUAAGCGGCACAGCGAAAGCGUUAAGUGAUCCACCUGGGGAGUACGCCGGCAACGGUGAAACUCAAAGGAAUUGACGGGGGCCCGCACAAGCGGAGGAACAUGUGGUUUAAUUCGAUGAUACGCGAGGAACCUUACCCGGGUUUGAACGCAUUCGGACCGAGGUGGAAACACCUUUUCUAGCAAUAGCCGUUUGCGAGGUGCUGCAUGGUUGUCGUCAGCUCGUGCCGUGAGGUGUCGGCUUAAGUGCCAUAACGAGCGCAACCCUUGCCACUAGUUACUAACAGGUAAAGCUGAGGACUCUGGUGGGACUGCCAGCGUAAGCUGCGAGGAAGGCGGGGAUGACGUCAAAUCAGCACGGCCCUUACAUCCGGGGCGACACACGUGUUACAAUGGCGUGGACAAAGGGAAGCCACCUGGCGACAGGGAGCGAAUCCCCAAACCACGUCUCAGUUCGGAUCGGAGUCUGCAACCCGACUCCGUGAAGCUGGAUUCGCUAGUAAUCGCGCAUCAGCCAUGGCGCGGUGAAUACGUUCCCGGGCCUUGUACACACCGCCCGUCAAGCCAUGGGAGCCGGGGGUACCUGAAGUCCGUAACCGCGAGGAUCGGCCUAGGGUAAAACUGGUGACUGGGGC
This 1435-nucleotide ribosomal RNA is filed under the name uncultured organism. Its description in RNAcentral is "SSU rRNA". It matches the Rfam family "Bacterial small subunit ribosomal RNA". The record is from RNAcentral.